ACUGCGAGUGAAGCGGGAAAAGCUCAAAUUUAAAAUCUAAUGGUCCUUGCCAUUCGAGUUGUAAUUUAGAGAAGCGUCUUCCGCGCCAGACCAUGUACAAGUCUCCUGGAACGGAGCGUCGUAUAGGGUGAGAAUCCCGUCUUUGACAUGGACCCUCGGUGCUUCUGUGAUGCGCUCUCAAAGAGUCGAGUUGUUUGGGAAUGCAGCUCAAAAUGGGUGGUGAACUCCAUCUAAGGCUAAAUAUUGGCGAGAGACCGAUAGCGAACAAGUACCGUGAGGGAAAGAUGAAAAGCACUUUGGAAAGAGAGUGAAACAGUACGUGAAAUUGUUGAAAGGGAAACACUUGAAGUCAGUCGCGUCGAUCAAGACUCAGCCUUGCCCUUGGCUUGGCGUACUUCUUGACUUGACGGGCCAGCAUCAAUUUUGUCCCUCGGAUAAUGGCGAGUGAAAGGUGGCACCUUCACGGGUGUGUUAUAGUCUCUCGUCGCAUACGAGGGGUGGGAUUGAGGAACUCAGCACGACGCCGCGAGGUGCGGGGCUUCGGCUC
RNAcentral lists this ribosomal RNA (547 nucleotides) under Lactifluus orientivolemus. RNAcentral's name for it is "Lactifluus sp. 30 HL-2019 partial large subunit ribosomal RNA". It matches the Rfam family "Eukaryotic large subunit ribosomal RNA", at positions 86 to 640 of the family's 3401-position model. Lineage: Eukaryota; Fungi; Basidiomycota; Agaricomycetes; Russulales; Russulaceae. The record is from RNAcentral.